This 473-nucleotide ribosomal RNA is filed under the name uncultured bacterium. Its description in RNAcentral is "partial 16S ribosomal RNA". It matches the Rfam family "Bacterial small subunit ribosomal RNA", at positions 29 to 507 of the family's 1533-position model. The record is from RNAcentral.
AACGAACGUUGGCGGCGUGGAUUAGGCAUGCAAGUCGUACGAGUUUCCUCUGGGUAACUGGAUGAAAAAAGUGGCGCAAGUGGCAGUAAGGCAUGGAUAAUCUACCCUGAUGACCGGGAUAGCUGUCCCAACGGGCAGGUAAUACCGGAUGAGCUGGUGUGGCCGCUUGGUUCUGCCAGGAAAGGCGCAAGCCGUGUCGGGAGGAAUCCGUGUGAUAUUAGCUAGUUGGUGAGGUAAAGGCUCACCAAGGCGAAGAUGUCUAGCGCGUGUGAGAGCACGACCCGCGCCAUGGGACAUGGGACACGGGCCAGACUCCAACGGGAGGCGGCAGGCGGGGAUCUGCGGCAAUGGGCGAAAGCCUGACCGAGGGAGGCCGCGUGAGCGAUGAAGGCCAUUAGGUUGUAAAGCGCUGUGGAGGGGGAACAAGCCGCAAGGUGGCGUGACCCCUGGAGGAAGCACGGGCUAAGUUCGUG